UGGGGAUCAUAUCGCUUUAACUC
Molecule: small nuclear RNA, 23 nt
Filed under: Arabidopsis thaliana (thale cress)
Lineage: Eukaryota; Viridiplantae; Streptophyta; Magnoliopsida; Brassicales; Brassicaceae
Description: snRNA_01712
Source: RNAcentral